This 274-nucleotide ribosomal RNA is filed under the name uncultured bacterium. RNAcentral describes it as "partial 16S ribosomal RNA". It matches the Rfam family "Bacterial small subunit ribosomal RNA", at positions 523 to 796 of the family's 1533-position model. The record is from RNAcentral.
AUACGGAGGGUGCAAGCGUUACUCGGAAUCACUGGGCGUAAAGCGCGCGCAGGCGGCCUGAUAAGUUGGAUGUGAAAGCCUACGGCUCAACCGUAGAACUGCAUCCAAAACUGUCAGGCUAGAGUGUGGGAGAGGAAGAUGGAAUUAGUUGUGUAGGGGUAAAAUCCGUAGAGAUAACUCGGAAUACCAAAAGCGAAGGCAAUCUUCUGGAACACUACUGACGCUGAGGCGCGAAGGCGUGGGGAGCAAACAGGAGUAGAUACCCCGGUAGUAC